GUGGGGAAUUUUGGACAAUGGGCGCAAGCCUGAUCCAGCAAUGCCGCGUGUGUGAAGAAGGCCUUCGGGUUGUAAAGCACUUUUGUCCGGAAAGAAAACCGCCUGGCUAAUAUCCGGGUGGGAUGACGGUACCGGAAGAAUAAGCACCGGCUAACUACGUGCCAGCAGCCGCGGUAAUACGUAGGGUGCGAGCGUUAAUCGGAAUUACUAGGCGUAAAGCGUGCGCAGGCGGUUUUGUAAGCCAGAUGUGAAAUCCCCGGGCUUAACCUGGGAAUGGCAUUUGGGACUGCAAGGCUCGAGUUUGGCAGAGGAGACUGGAAUUCCUGGUGUAGCAGUGAAAUGCGUAGAUAUCAGGAGGAAUACCGAUGGCGAAGGCAGGUCUCUGGGCUGAAACUGACGCUCAUGCACGAAAGCGUGGGGAGCAAAC
Molecule: ribosomal RNA, 427 nt
Filed under: uncultured bacterium
Lineage: Bacteria
Description: bacterial SSU rRNA
Rfam family: Bacterial small subunit ribosomal RNA
Source: RNAcentral